This is a long non-coding RNA of Alligator mississippiensis (American alligator), 3058 nucleotides long. RefSeq lists it as uncharacterized. The record is from RefSeq and is a predicted model, not a curated record. The transcript is spliced from 12 exons. Lineage: Eukaryota; Metazoa; Chordata; Crocodylia; Alligatoridae.
GCCAGCUCAACACAAAGCUGUUUUACAGCACUGUACUGACCUCAGACAUAAAGCAAAACAAUUUCUAUUUUCUACAGGUGGCUAAUUUUUCCUUUUCUCUCACUUCCUUACUGCUAUCACCAGGACGCCUGAUUCUGAAGCAGAAGCAAAGAUUAUCUACACCACAGAAAACGAAUGUUGUCUGCUCUAAAGAGGAGAACUACUGCAUUGGCAGCUGCCUAAGAAAGGACUAUGCAUCUGAGAAUAAGGGAGUUGCAACGAUUGUGCUGACAUUUCCCCCUCUCCAGUAGUCAAAAAUUAAGCUGUUUGUCUUCUGUGAAGCAAUAGGAUUGAAAAGAUGAUUGCAGGUUUACUACAGACUCUCCAGGGGAAUAGUCCACCUCACAAAAUAUAGGGUGAAAUGAUACCGGGAGUGAUAUGUGUCAGCUGAAGCAGUGGAGUCCUGCCAAGUCAUAGACUGUAUCUCUGGAGGGAAGGUGCAUGCUAGAGCACUUCAUGCUGGGAUGCCAGAAGACUGCAGGGAAGCUUCUAUUGGUAAGGCAGUCUCAUUGAUUUCAGUGAGAAUCUGCAAUGCCAUGGUUACUCACCCAUGUGGAUCAAAGUACAGGAUCAAGACUUAGGGGACUGCAGUGUCAUGUGGACUCUAAAGCCAGGCACCAGGGGAUGCACUCCGGAACCAGCAGCAGGAAGGAGAGGAGGCAGCACACGUGUGUCCUGCACGCACGUGUGCCCUUUUUACCAACCAACUGACCGGAGGCGGCGGCGGCAGCAGCAACAGAGGAAUCGGCAGCGGGGGCAGCAGCAGCUGAUCCCCCAAAGGUAAGUGGGGCGGAGGGACCCGGCACAGCUGAGCCGGAUCCGGAGGGGAAGCCCCCCGGGUCCCAUAUAGCUGAGCCGGUAGGGAGCCGCGCUCCCGAGCCGCGCGGCGCGAACAGAGCGCGCAAACAGGGAGGGCUAGGAAGGGGACUGUCUCCCCAGGCCAGGGGGCACCCCCGGGGCUAACGCUUGGGGGAGCAGGCUCCUGUGGCAGCGGAUCCCCCCAGCGGGGGAGUGUAGGGGCAGAACUGCCGGCAGGCACUUCUGGGUAGACCGGGGCGCCUGAUUGGCCGUUGGAGCGGGGCGGGUAAUUCAAACCGCGGGCUUUAAAGCCACGGAGUGACGUAGUUCCCAGCACUCGGGAACCAGCAGCGGGAAGGAGAGGAGGCAGCACACGUGUGUCCCGCACGCACGUGUGCCCUUUUUACCAACCAACUGACCGGAGGCGGCGGCGGCAGCAGCAACAGAGGAAUCGGCAGCGGGGGCAGCAGCAGCUGAUCCCCCGAAGGCCCAGGCACCAAAGGAAGAAGCACCCCGGGGAAUACCCUCCACAGCAGAGUGGCAGACAGUCACAGCCAGGACCGGAGCAGCACGCAGCAAACCGGUACCAGCUUCUCCAGUCCGACUGGUGAACAGAUCAAGAGAUCCACGAUGACCCAGAGGAGGAGGCGACGAGUGCUCGUCAUAGGAGACUCCAUCCUGAGAGGUACGGAAGGACCCAUCUGUCACCAGGACCCCUCGGCACGAGAGUGACCGGACGAGGAAGACGGCAGGAGAACUGCAUCAGAGAGACCAACUGGCGGCUUCAGCAGUGGUGUCUCGAGGCAGGCUUCGGCUUCCUGGACAAUGACCCGCACAUCACGACGAGGGACAUGCUCAGCUGGGAUGGGCUUCACCUGUCCCCCAAAGGCUGGCAGCCUUCCAGUUUGUAAGGAGCUGCUUGGCAUGAUUGGAGGCAGGGGGCAUCACGUGCAUUUGCAUGCUCACAUACAUAGCCUGCAUACAGCCAGGCAACAUGGUUGGAGCAGCCCUGGCAGCUGGAUACAGAGCUCAAUAUGUAUAUGCCAGACAUGAGACCAACAGGUGGAUGAAACAGCAAAAUAAAGUGGGUCUGGAAGGGUGAAGUAAAAGUAACAUGAACAAAGCAGAAUUCACAGCUUGUUGUUUCCCUGAGCAAUCUCACAAGGACUAGGAAUGAUUGAGGACCAACCAUCAUGGGCCUCAUCUAACUAGAAUUCACCUUGAAUCCAGAAAAAAUUCUGAGAACCUAGUCUCAGUUCCUAUGAAGCAUGAUAUCUUUUCAUAGCAAUCCAGCUCUUGAGAAUCUUGAAACUCUUGGCAAUCAUCAAAUUCUCCAAUGUACUAAUGUCCAUCUGAGUUCUUCCUCAGGAAAUGAUCAGAAAAGACUGUAACUAAUUCUGAAGAAUAAAAGUGCAUUGCAGAGAAUUAAGUUUUGGUUUUAGAAAGUGGCACUUGAACUUGGAGAGUGACCUUAUUUCUAGAAAUUCAGUAUGUAUUUGUGAAUAGACGGUGGGAAGUAACAAAAGACUCAUGGUGGAAGAAAGUCCCGAGAAAGGAACAGGAGGAGAAUGGAGGUUCCAGAGCAGAUGCUCCAUGAUGCUUGGGCGAGCCUUGGGAGAGAGGGGCAGAGCCAGCAAGAACUGGAGGCAGGAGGAGGCAGGUGGAGCCAGCAGAAGAAAAACCUGAAUGAGAAGUGGGGAGGAAAAAAGUGGUGAAAAAAGGCUCACAGAGAGUGAUGAGGACCAGAGAGAUUUGCUGGAUGGAGGGACUCCAGCGAAAGAGGCUGGCGAGGUAAUCUUCUAGAGAAAGAAAACCAGGACCAGGGAACCCUCCUCCCAUGCCGAGGAUAUUGAGGCUGGGCGGUUGUUGUUGUGGAGGGCGUAUCUGGUAACUGGUCCAGCAAGACCUUAAUCAAUAAAAAAAAGAAAGAAAGAAAGAAGGUGAUUGAGAAGAUAAGUUUCUGCAAGUCCUAAGGAAGAGGGACCAUGCCUGGGGAAUAAAAUGAGGAAUAGAGAAAUAGAUCUCAGGGCUGGGAGGGCUGGACUGACUACAAAAGCAAUUGAUAAACAGUACUCAGUUAGGUUGAAUUUAUAUCUGAGUUGGAUCUUAUUUAAGUUGAUAUACCUAUUUAAUUGAUAUAAAGAAGUAAUGAUAAUCCUGCUGGCAGCAGGACCAUAUGUAAAUUGUAAAAAUUAAUAAAUAAAGGACAUUGUAAACUUGA